This 483-nucleotide ribosomal RNA is filed under the name uncultured bacterium. RNAcentral describes it as "partial 16S ribosomal RNA". It matches the Rfam family "Bacterial small subunit ribosomal RNA", at positions 28 to 507 of the family's 1533-position model. The record is from RNAcentral.
GACGAACGCUGGCGGCGUGCUUAACACAUGCAAGUCGAACGCUGAAGCUCAGCUUUUGUUGGGUGGAUGAGUGGCGAACGGGUGAGUAACACGUGAGUAACCUGCCCCCUUCUUUGGGAUAACGCCCGGAAACGGGUGCUAAUACCGGAUAUUCACUGGUCUUCGCAUGGGGGUUGGUGGAAAGGGUUUUUCUGGUGGGGGAUGGGCUCGCGGCCUAUCAGCUUGUUGGUGGGGUGAUGGCCUACCAAGGCUUUGACGGGUAGCCGGCCUGAGAGGGUGACCGGUCACAUUGGGACUGAGAUACGGCCCAGACUCCUACGGGAGGCAGCAGUGGGGAAUAUUGCACAAUGGGCGCAAGCCUGAUGCAGCGACGCCGCGUGAGGGAUGGAGGCCUUCGGGUUGUGAACCUCUUUCGCUCAUGGUCAAGCCGCAACAAUGGUUGUGGUGAGGGUAGUGGGUAAAGAAGCGCCGGCUAACUACGUG